ACACCUGGCCAUUCGGGUGCCCCUCAAUUGGGUAUGUACUCAAAAAGUUCCAUGAAAGUCCUGAGGCGGAAGGGUCGGCUCUGAAAUUCUCCGGGGUCGUAUUAAAGUUCCAACUUUAAGCUUGUGCAUGUAAUUAACACUUUCGGUAAAGUUUGCCGCUGCCGUCUGUUUCAAUAUUUGUGUUUUCAUUGGGUAGUUUGGUUGAAUUUUUUGUCUUUCGGGGCUCGUCUCGUCCCGUGCCUUUAUUGUCGCCAGUAAGCUAGGGAAAAUAUGGAAAUUUUAUUGCUCGCUUAUGUUUGAGUUAAUUUGGCAACAAUUUUGUUGAAUUUUAAUGAGUGUGCGAGUAGCAUAAGUCCCACGUCCAACGUCCAACGUCCCACGUCCCGGAAUCCCUGAUGAUGGCUGGCAUGGAGUUUGAUGAUUUUGUGUACUGAUUUAAGCCCUUGACAGAGCGACAGACUGCUGACGAGGAUGAGGAGGACGAGAACAAGGAUACGGGUGAGGAUUUUCCAACCAGCAAGACAGGGCAAAUUUUGCAUUUGCCAAAGACGAGUUUCUAAUUAAGCCGAAAGUCCUGACAACCGACGUCAAUCCGAGAGGCCGCAAAAUUAUGCGAAAUCUCGCAGUCAUUUACAAAUUUGGAAAAUCAACAGCAGUCAUCGCGUUUCCCGCGCCGACUUAAAUCUAAAAUGGAAAUCUUUAACGAACUACUUUUUUUUGGGCAGAAGGAGCCUGAAGACGAGGGCUUAAGACCCCAAUUGACAUGCGAACUUGACGCACAAAAACUUGCCAGUCAGGUUACCAGAUUAUGGCAAUGGGACGAUACCAAUCGACCAAUUGAAUUAAGCGCAUUAAAGCAGCGCCAUUGAUGUCAAUGGGAAAAUCACGCAGUCAUCGGGCGAAGGUGGAAAACCAAAAGUUGGAAAAUCGGAGUAACCACAACGCGAAAUCCAGCACUGAGAAAAAAUUGGUUGGUGGUUGUUUAGUGUGUCACAUCAAGUUUAUUGUUUGCUGAAGUAUCGAAUAUCCUUUUAUGCUUUAGAUGUAUAACUACACAUAUAAUACAUACAAGUAUAUAGUCUCGAUAACAUUAAGUUUAAAA
Molecule: long non-coding RNA, 1102 nt
Organism: Drosophila yakuba
Lineage: Eukaryota; Metazoa; Arthropoda; Insecta; Diptera; Drosophilidae
Exons: 2
Source: RefSeq, a predicted model, not a curated record